UACGUAGGGGGCAAGCGUUGUCCGGAUUUACUGGGCGUAAAGCGUGCGCAGGCGGUUUUGUAAGCCAGAUGUGAAAUCCCCGGGCUUAACCUGGGAAUGGCAUUUGGGACUGCAAGGCUGGAGUGUGGCAGAGGAGACUGGAAUUCCCGGUGUAGCAGUGAAAUGCGUAGAUAUCGGGAGGAAUACCGAUGGCGAAGGCAGGUCUCUGGGCUGACACUGACGCUCAUGCACGAAAGCGUGGGGAGCAAACAGG
RNAcentral lists this ribosomal RNA (253 nucleotides) under uncultured bacterium. Its description in RNAcentral is "partial 16S ribosomal RNA". It matches the Rfam family "Bacterial small subunit ribosomal RNA", at positions 524 to 776 of the family's 1533-position model. The record is from RNAcentral.